This 266-nucleotide ribosomal RNA is filed under the name uncultured bacterium. RNAcentral describes it as "partial 16S ribosomal RNA". It matches the Rfam family "Bacterial small subunit ribosomal RNA", at positions 524 to 789 of the family's 1533-position model. The record is from RNAcentral.
UACGUAGGGUGCGAGCGUUAAUCGGAAUUACUGGGCGUAAAGCGUGCGCAGGCGGUUUCGUAAGACAGAUGUGAAAUCCCCGGGCUUAACCUGGGAACUGCAUUUGUGACUGCGAGACUAGAGUGUAGCAGAGGGGGGUAGAAUUCCACGUGUAGCAGUGAAAUGCGUAGAGAUGUGGAGGAAUACCGAUGGCGAAGGCAGCCCCCUGGGCUAACACUGACGCUCAUGCACGAAAGCGUGGGGAGCAAACAGGAUUAGAUACCCGU